UACGGAGGGGGCAAGCGUUGUUCGGAUUUACUGGGCGUAAAGGGUCCGUAGGUGGUUGUGUAAGUCUGGUGUGAAAUCUUCGCCGCUUAACGGGAAGACGCCACUGGAAACUGCGCAACUUGAGUAUGGUAGAGGCAAGCGGAAUUCCUGGUGUAGCGGUGGAAUGUGUAGAUAUCAGGAAGAACAUCUGUGGCGAAGGCGGCUUGCUGGGCCAUCACUGACACUGAGGGACGAAAGCGUGGGGAGCAAACGGG
Molecule: ribosomal RNA, 254 nt
Filed under: uncultured bacterium
Lineage: Bacteria
Description: partial 16S ribosomal RNA
Rfam family: Bacterial small subunit ribosomal RNA
Source: RNAcentral